Molecule: long non-coding RNA, 398 nt
Organism: Micropterus dolomieu (smallmouth bass)
Lineage: Eukaryota; Metazoa; Chordata; Actinopteri; Centrarchiformes; Centrarchidae
Exons: 4
Source: RefSeq, a predicted model, not a curated record
CAAUGUUCUUCUUGGUUUUGAGAAACACCACGUGUCUCUCACGCGGGCCUCUCUGAGUGUUUCCUCAAAGUUUAGUUUGACUUCCGUGAGGUUGUGGCGCAGUUAGUUUUCUCCAUCUGAACCCACAUCUGAAGGUGAAAGUGUGUGAGCUGAUGUGGAUGUGAGUUCAGCAGCAUGAGUCAGUGUGAGGACAAAGAGGAGGGAGACCCUCAGAGAGAGAUCGAACAUGAGAGGAACAUUCCUGGAGCGGAUGAAUCUGAACCUGGACCUGAACCCAGCUGUGUGUCCCUCAAAAGCAACAAGUCCAUUGACCCACCACUAUUUUUCAAAGGAAGAGAGAAAUAUUUGGGACGAUUCUCUGCUGAACCAGGACCUGAACCCAGCUGUGUGUCCCUCAA